RNAcentral lists this ribosomal RNA (497 nucleotides) under uncultured bacterium. RNAcentral describes it as "partial 16S ribosomal RNA". It matches the Rfam family "Bacterial small subunit ribosomal RNA", at positions 28 to 507 of the family's 1533-position model. The record is from RNAcentral.
GACGAACGCUGGCGGCGUGCCUAAUACAUGCAAGUUGAGCGAUGAAGAUUGGUGCUUGCACCAAUUUGAAGAGCAGCGAACGGGUGAGUAACGCGUGGGGAAUCUGCCUUUGAGCGGGGGACAACAUUUGGAAACGAAUGCUAAUACCGCAUAACAACUUUAAACAUAAGUUUUAAGUUUGAAAGAUGCAAUUGCAUCACUCAAAGAUGAUCCCGCGUUGUAUUAGCUAGUUGGUGAGGUAAAGGCUCACCAAGGCGAUGAUACAUAGCCGACCUGAGAGGGUGAUCGGCCACAUUGGGACUGAGUCACGGCCCAAACUCCUACGGGAGGCAGCAGUAGGGAAUCUUCGGCAAUGGACGAAAGUCUGGCCGAGCAACGCCGCGUGAGUGAAGAAGGUUUUCGGAUCGUAAAACUCUGUUGGUAGAGAAGAACGUUGGUGAGAGUGGAAAGCUCAUCAAGUGACGGUAACUACCCAGAAAGGGACGGCUAACUACGUG